UAGCAACAGUGAAGACCAUAAAAGGGGCUCUUAGACCCCCACUCUCUUACUCUUACUCCUUUGUUCCUUUACCUCUCACUUCUCUCUCCUCUUCCCUUUCUCUUUGUCUUCUCCUCUCCUCUCUACUUCUCUCUCUCUCUAGCCUUUCCUCUCCCCCAGUUCUCUAUUCCCCCCUGCAUUUCUCUAAUAAAGCUCUUAAACCAUAGACAGCCUCUGCUCCAUCAAGACCAGCUGCACACUCUGGUUUGCUAUUUCAGCUUUGCUAGCCUCAGAGCUGUUCAACUUUCACAAGGAACAAUAUUUUCUGUAUGGAAUACAUGAACAUACCUUUCUUUAAUUCUUGUUAUUUCCAAACAACUGAAGUGUACCGCCUGGAAUAAAUGCAAAUGAAGUUGCAAAUAUUUGAAUUUCAUGGUCAUCGCCGAGGUGAAGAGAGUAUACAAAAUUCUAAAUAUAAAGCGAGAAAGGAAAGUGCCAGCUGAGUACCAGAAUUUAUCUCCUUUUCCUUUCUUACUCAAGAUGCUCAAUGUGAUCCAUAGCUUCAGCCUCCAACCACCAUCCCUUCCCCACUGGGAUGGAUUGUCCCUCCUUAUGAAUGAAUUCUUUCUAAGCAGCGUUUUUGUGGCAGUGAUGUAAAACAGAUGUUGAGUUUCCAGUUCUGCUGUGUGUGUACCAUCCCACUCCUCAUCAUGAAUGGCUUUACCAUCACAUUUCACAUUUAUCCUGUCAAGGAACUGCUGGACCACAUGAAGAGGCUGGAUUUGUGGAACGAAAGCAACAGGACCCCCGCGGCUGAGGCAAUAGCAGGAUAUCAGUGAGGAGCCCUGGUUUUCAAUAUAAAUUAGAACUGUGUCAUCACAGAAUCAGAAGCAAACUCAUUCAGCUGACUGAAAACUAAAAAUGUCACCUAACUCAAGAUACUCUUGUCUAAUCCAAACAUAUAUCCACCACUCAAUCUCUUCUUGCCAGUCACAUGAAGGUGGCAUGUUUUUAUCCUUGCAUCUGAAAGAAAAGUCUUCUGAGAGGAUUGGAACAGGAGCUCAAUCCACAGCGAUGAGCAACAGAGAAUGGAUGUUAUUUCCUUAAGUGUGUACAGAGCCCUGGAUCACUGUAGGAGAGGAGGAAGGGUGUGCUUAUUGACCACUGCCUUCUGAAUAGCAUCGGGUGGCUCACAAUGGAAUAUGAGUGUGUUUGCUCAGUUCUAGUGAGCACAUGCCAUCACCUCAAUUGGACAUAAGUGGAAGACUGAUUGACAGCCUGAGUGUUGAGCCCGAUGAGUGCUUUCUUUUAUUGGAUUUACAAGACUGUUUAUUAUGUAGUGAGUGCCACUGACAAAGUAGUAUAUUCCUGAGAAGAUGAAUUGCACACAGUAAGCCCAGGCUGAUCCUGAUGUUUCAGUAAAUUAUUGAAUGCUCAUACCAUGAAAUUAUCAGUGUGACAUUUCUCAAAAGUCCAA
This 1456-nucleotide long non-coding RNA is filed under the name Mus musculus (house mouse). RNAcentral describes it as "predicted gene, 49729". Lineage: Eukaryota; Metazoa; Chordata; Mammalia; Rodentia; Muridae. The record is from RNAcentral.